This 586-nucleotide long non-coding RNA is filed under the name Homo sapiens (human). RNAcentral describes it as "non-protein coding CKMT2-AS1:29". The record is from RNAcentral. Lineage: Eukaryota; Metazoa; Chordata; Mammalia; Primates; Hominidae.
AGUGAUGGGAUGGCCCUGUGCAGGACGCCGACACGAAAAGAUGAAGAGUUCAAUCCGUGCUGUCUGAACUCACAGUGUAGCAGGCGAGAUAGACGGGAAGAUCGGUAGGGUGGGAGAUGCCGGAAAGGCUUCCCGUGAGACUGGAUAAGAAAUCAAAAAUCUGGUGAAAUUGCCGGCAAGAGGGAGUUAAGGACAUUCCAGGCAGAGGCAAGUAGAGACAGGGUUUCACCGUGUUCGCCAGGAUGGUCUUGAUCUCCUGACCUUGUGAUCCGCCCGCCUCGGCCUCCCAAAGUGCUGGGAUUACAGGCGUGAGCCACCGCGCCCGGCUGAGUCCUGCCUUAUUUACUCUCACUUUAGGAUGUGGCCAUAACUGCCACAUAAUAUUACCUUUGGCUGAUGAUCUAUUCUGUAGGAAGUCUGCUGGAACUGGCGUAUCUCUCUGAUGAUGUGUGAUAUCUAACAGAGAAAAAAACAAAACAAAAUGACAACAACAAAAGCAAAGAAAGGCAUCCACCCACUCCCCUCAGACCUCAGCAUGGGCUGGAACCUGACUCUGAACCUAACAGAUGGAUUGGAGGGCAGUGAG